This is a non-coding RNA of Triticum aestivum (bread wheat), 116 nucleotides long. Lineage: Eukaryota; Viridiplantae; Streptophyta; Magnoliopsida; Poales; Poaceae. The record is from Rfam.
GACAUACUACCUCCGUUCCAAAUUACUCUGUCGCUGAAAUGGAUGUAUCUAGAACUAAAAUACAUCUAGAUACAUCCAUACGUGCGACAAGUAAUUCGGAACGUUGGGAGUACAUU